This 278-nucleotide ribosomal RNA is filed under the name uncultured oral bacterium AP320. RNAcentral describes it as "16S ribosomal RNA". It matches the Rfam family "Bacterial small subunit ribosomal RNA", at positions 76 to 354 of the family's 1533-position model. The record is from RNAcentral. RNAcentral also lists the same sequence under 2 other names.
CCGGAAGAUGCGUUAUCUAGUGGCGGACGGGUGAGUAACACGUGGGUAACCUGCCUUAUGGAGGGGGAUAACAGAGAGAAAUCACUGCUAAUACCGCAUAAGCACACAUUGCCGCAUGGCAGAGUGUGAAAAGAUUUAUCGCCAUAAGAUGGACCCGCGUCUGAUUAGCCAGUUGGCAGGGUAAAAGCCUACCAAAGCAACGAUCAGUAGCCGAUCUGAGAGGAUGACCGGCCACAUUGGGACUGAGACACGGCCCAAACUCCUACGGGAGGCAGCAG